RNAcentral lists this ribosomal RNA (253 nucleotides) under uncultured bacterium. RNAcentral describes it as "partial 16S ribosomal RNA". It matches the Rfam family "Bacterial small subunit ribosomal RNA", at positions 524 to 776 of the family's 1533-position model. The record is from RNAcentral.
UACGGAGGAUGCAAGCGUUAUCCGGAUUUACUGGGCGUAAAGCGUCCGCAGGUGGCUAUUCAAGUCUGCUGUCAAAGCUCGGAGCUUAACUCCGAAUCGGCGGUGGAAACUGAACAGCUAGAGUGCAGUAGGGGUAGAGGGAAUUCCCAGUGUAGCGGUGAAAUGCGUAGAGAUUGGGAAGAACACCGGUGGCGAAAGCGCUCUACUGGACUGCAACUGACACUCAGGGACGAAAGCUAGGGGAGCGAAUGGG